RNA transcript from Trifolium pratense (red clover), 1896 nucleotides. RefSeq lists it as uncharacterized. The record is from RefSeq and is a predicted model, not a curated record. Lineage: Eukaryota; Viridiplantae; Streptophyta; Magnoliopsida; Fabales; Fabaceae. The transcript has 4 exons.
GAUAUGAUUUUCAAUUUCUUCAUUUGUAGAAACAUGUUUUUCGCUUCUUUCUCUUCUUUCCCUUCGACGAGCUUCUUUCCCUUCGACGAGCUUCUUCCUUCACCACCGUCGCCGACAACUCACCGCCGAUAACAUUCAUCUCAUCCUUUGAAAUGUCUGAUUUUUCUUUCAUUUGCAGAAACCACUAUUUCUCUUCUUUCCCUUCGACGAAACCACUGUUGCAGAAACCCUAAUUUUUGGAGUUGAUAAUUCUCUUAUUUCAUUAUUUCUCAUCGGAAGGUGAAUUUUAAAGAAAACCUAGCAAAUCCAACAUGAACGCAUCAUCACGUGUUUCACUACAAGCUCCUAAGCGUUUACCAAUUGAUGAAAAAUGGAGAAAGAUGGAAUUCAAAGCAGAAGAACUUUACUAUGCCUUGAAGAAGAUAAGACAUGCUGGAAAGUUUUAAUUGAAAGCUACUCUUUUAUCGGAUUUUGUUUUCUUUCAUGAUGUAGUUUGUAGUAAAAUUUGUUUCAUGAAUUCUAAAUGUGGUCUACAGUUUUCACCACAGUAGGUAUGAAUAGUAAUUUGAAUAUGUUAAUGACUAAUUUUGCAAUAUAACUUGCAUGUUCUUGUCUGUUCAACUUGAUGUUUAUGGACUUUAGAACUAAAUAUUGUACUACCUUAUGAAUUGUCUUUGUCUUAGUCAUAGUUCAUUCAUAAAAACUUAGAAGGCAUACAAGCCAAUGUUAAGUUAUAUUGCUGCAAGUAAAAUGACUCAAAUGGGGUUGAUUUGUAAGAACAUGUUGUAGGAAUCAAUUUUUGGUUUAUUUGAAAUUGAAUUUUACAUGCCUAAUUGUUUCUUCUUCAUUAAGGGCACAUAUGACAGUAGCUUCUUCAUUCAUCACAUUUAACCUUGUUCUUAAUUGUAGCAUCUUUCACAAAUAGGGAGGAUUUUGAAGCUGAAUUUUAUGAGGGGAAGGACAAAAUCUAUUUUUCUACUUGUUGGUAUCAAAGAUAUGCUCCCCAUAUUGGGGAAACUGUAGUAAUCAAAGAUGAAAAAGGGAACAAGUUUAUUGCUUUUGUAAAGAAAGGCAACAAACCACACCUAGUGUUUAACCAAACAAAACUUAGAUUUAUGUACCAGCUAACACUUUUUGGUAUAAUUAUUCUAAAGUUAGUUGAUGAUUCCAAGUUUGAGAUGAAAGUAUUAGGACAUUACCUAGGAAAAAUAGAUACAAACGAUCCAGCUAAAUAUGAUGGUCAUUGGGGUUAUGAUCCAAUGUGGGUUUUGGAAAUUUCUGAAGAGAUGUCAACAGAAGGGAAACUUUUGAUGAUACCUGACGAUGUGGUAGAUAUCAUUUACCACGGCUCAGUAGACUAUGAGCUUGAGGUUUCCGUGUCUGAGACAAAUGAAUGUUAUACUUGGGAAGUGCAACAUAUGGGUAAUCAAUUUUUAAUAGCUGGUGGAUGGGUUGAUUUUUUAAAGAACCAAAUCAAAAAAGGAAUUAAGAAAAUAUUUUUCUACAACGACGGUGCAAAAUCCACCGUUGUAUUGAAGGUGUCUCCUUGAAGAUGUGAUUUUGACAUUUGCUGGUGGCUGCUGGAGUUGGAGACGAAGCUGAUAUAGUUAGGAUGUGGGGGAUUUCUAUUUGGGAGUUAUUAUUUCCUUUGUUUUGUAAUUAAGCUAGUUGGAACUUGAAUGGUGUUGCUAUGUUAUUUACUGGUGCUUAGAAUUUCCUUUGGUUAGUAAUUAGGUUAAUUAGCUGUUUGUGCUGUAGAAUCUAUUUUUCAUCUUUUAUGUUUCUGCUAUGUAGUAGCUGGAUGGUACUGAUUGUGUUAGUGUACUAUAUUGCACAGUGUACUAUAUUCAAGUUGUGCUAAUCUAAUGGUUAUGCCUUGUUCCAAGUUUGAGUCAA